UACAGAGGGUGCGAGCGUUAAUCGGAAUUACUGGGCGUAAAGCGCGCGUAGGCGGCUUUGCAAGUCGAGUGUGAAAUCCCCGGGCUCAACCUGGGAACUGCAUUCGAGACUGCAUUGCUAGAGUAUGGGAGAGGGAGGUGGAAUUUCAGGUGUAGCGGUGAAAUGCGUAGAUAUCUGAAGGAACAUCAGUGGCGAAAGCGACCUCCUGGACCAAUACUGACGCUCAUGUGCGAAAGCGUGGGGAG
This 245-nucleotide ribosomal RNA is filed under the name uncultured bacterium. RNAcentral's name for it is "partial 16S ribosomal RNA". It matches the Rfam family "Bacterial small subunit ribosomal RNA", at positions 524 to 768 of the family's 1533-position model. The record is from RNAcentral.